AUGUGCAUCGCACCGUCCUUCGUCCGUCCUUCCUAAUUAAAAUGUCAAAUUUAAAUGUAAAUCAAUAAAUUAUCAAAGAAACGUAUCUACAAGAGGGACGUAUAUUGCUCGGUCCUUCAUAACACGUGGCCGCGUGUGAGAGGUUUGGGUAGGGUGAAGGAAAAAAAAUCGAAGUAUCGAGAUCAUUUGUUUUCUCUCCGACUCUCUCUCUUUACGCAGCUUCCUUCAAUCAUCACCAUUUCCGUCGUGCUUCUCUCUCUCGUUCGUCUGCGAAGAAGAAGAAUCUGACUCUGAGUUGUUGUAAGGACAUGAAUCUCGCGGUGGCUAGUUUUAGUGGCAAUUUGGGCGUCUUGUCGCAAUGCAGCUCAUGUUGUAGUCGUCUUAAGUUUCAGCCUUUUGUAGGAGCUACUUCGAGUCUCAAUUUCGGGCAAACAGGAACAUCUCGAAAGAAGAAGGAUCUGAAGCUUGAAAGAGUUUUCAGAAAGAGAGAGACUUCAGCUGAUGAUCCU
Non-coding RNA from Camelina sativa (false flax), 509 nucleotides. NCBI's taxonomy places the organism in Eukaryota, Viridiplantae, Streptophyta, Magnoliopsida, Brassicales, Brassicaceae. The record is from RefSeq and is a predicted model, not a curated record.